CUAAGAAUCUUCCGCAAUGGGCGAAAGCCUGACGGAGCGACGCCGCGUGAACGAAGAAGGCCGUGAGGUUGUAAAGUUCUUUUCGGGAGGGGGAACAACCGUGGCAGGGAAUGGCCGCGGGAUGACGUGAAUCCCGGAAUAAGCCCCGGCUAACUACGUGCCAGCAGCCGCGGUAACACGUAGGGGGCGAGCGUUGUUCGGAAUCAUUGGGCGUAAAGGGCGUGCAGGCGGUCCUGCAAGUCCGGCGUGAAAGACCCCGGCCCAACCGGGGGGACGCGCUGGAAACUGCAGGGCUUGAGUACAGGAGGGGAUGCCGGAAUUCCAGGUGUAGGGGUGAAAUCUGUAGAUAUCUGGAAGAACACCAAUGGCGAAGGCAGGCAUCUGGCCAUGUACUGACGCUGAGACGCGAAGGUGCGGGGAGCAAACAGGUUUAGAUACCCUGGUAGUCCGCACAGUAAACGAUGUGCACCAGGUGGCGGGGGGUCGA
This 487-nucleotide ribosomal RNA is filed under the name uncultured bacterium. RNAcentral's name for it is "bacterial SSU rRNA". It matches the Rfam family "Bacterial small subunit ribosomal RNA", at positions 355 to 834 of the family's 1533-position model. The record is from RNAcentral.